RNAcentral lists this unclassified non-coding RNA (774 nucleotides) under Holcus annuus subsp. duriensis. RNAcentral's name for it is "partial external transcribed spacer". Lineage: Eukaryota; Viridiplantae; Streptophyta; Magnoliopsida; Poales; Poaceae. The record is from RNAcentral.
GAUGAGUUGUUUUGGACCCGUGUCUAUCGGUAGAUCCCCCGACUCUUUGUGCGGCUGACUACCGGUGCCCUGUCCCGUCAUUUGUGUGGCUAAUGUUACUGUUGCCUUUCAAGUGCUUGCGUGCUAGUACCCAAAAUACGGGAAGUUGUGCUUCAUACAAAGUUGCCUCGUGGUGGACGCCUUCGGGUGUGCUACUGCGGCCAAAUGGCGUUUGCGGCGUUGCCUYGUGGUGCUGACACGGAUUCGUGCCUGGUGCUCUCAAGGCAGCAUUGCUCCCGCUGUUGGUUUCGGAUGUUGCUCACGAUGUAGGCUUGUGGCCAUAAUGAUUGCCCCGAUCCGACCCUAACAUGCUCUCCGAAUUUGACGACAACCGGAACAGGUGUUGCCUCUACCUCUCCAUGUUUUGUGGUAGGAUACGCAGCAUUYUGGAACGACCCUCAAACUAGGACGAGCUUGGGCCUAACACGCUCUCCGAAUUUGGCGACAACCGGAACAUGUGUUGCCUCUACCUCUCCACGGUUUGUGGUAGGAUACGCAGCAUUUUGUAACGACCCUCAAACUCGGACAAGCUUGGGCCUAACAUGCUCUCCGAAUUUGGCGACAACCGGAACAUGUGUUGCCUAUACCUCGGAUACGCGGCAUUUUGUAACGACCCUCAAACUCGGACGAGCUUGGCCCGCUCAAUUGUGACAACCGGCCCGACUGUUGCCUCUACCUUGCCACGUAAGUGGACGGGYGGACAACAGCCGAUGCUGGACGUCAAGAGGACGUGCU